Molecule: ribosomal RNA, 327 nt
Filed under: uncultured eukaryote
Lineage: Eukaryota
Description: partial 18S ribosomal RNA
Rfam family: Eukaryotic small subunit ribosomal RNA
Source: RNAcentral
CCCUUAGAUGUUCUGGGCCGCACGCGCGCUACACUGAUUCAUGCAACAAGUUUUGUCCUUGGCUGAUAGGCCUGGGUAAUCUUUGAACGUGAAUCGUGAUGGGGAUAGAUGAUUGCAAUUAUUCAUCUUCAACGAGGAAUUCCUAGUAAACGCAAGUCAUCAGCUUGCAUUGAUUACGUCCCUGCCCUUUGUACACACCGCCCGUCGCACCUACCGAUUGAAUGGUCCGGUGAAAUCUUCGGAUCUGAGAGAUGUCUGAUUAAUUUCGGACGCCUUUUGGAAAAGUUGCUUAAACCUUACCAUUUAGCGGAAGGUGAAGUCGUANCA